CGCCUUUCGUGGAAGCUUUCGCCCGCUUUUUAGGACCGACUGACCCGUACUCGACCGCCGUUGGCACGGAACCCUUCUCCACUUCGGAUAUCGGAAGAUCGU
Octopus sinensis (East Asian common octopus) is the source of this 102-nucleotide long non-coding RNA. RefSeq lists it as uncharacterized. The transcript is spliced from 3 exons. The record is from RefSeq and is a predicted model, not a curated record. Lineage: Eukaryota; Metazoa; Mollusca; Cephalopoda; Octopoda; Octopodidae.